This 327-nucleotide ribosomal RNA is filed under the name uncultured eukaryote. RNAcentral describes it as "partial 18S ribosomal RNA". It matches the Rfam family "Eukaryotic small subunit ribosomal RNA", at positions 1470 to 1796 of the family's 1831-position model. The record is from RNAcentral.
CCCUUAGAUGUUCUGGGCCGCACGCGCGCUACACUGAUGAAUGCAACGAGCUCUACCCUUGACCGAAAGGCCCGGGUAAACUUGUGAAACUUCAUCGUGAUGGGGAUAGAUUAUUGCAAUUAUUAAUCUUCAACGAGGAAUUCCUAGUAAGCGCGAGUCAUCAGCUCGCGUUGAUUACGUCCCUGCCCUUUGUACACACCGCCCGUCGCUCCUACCGAUUGAAUGGUCCGGUGAAAUCUUCGGAUUGCCGACCAAGAUCCAGCAAUGGAGCUUGGUUGCGAGAAGUUGAUUAAACCUUAUUAUUUAGAGGAAGGAGAAGUCGUAACA